GACGAACGCUGGCGGCGUGCUUAACACAUGCAAGUCGAACGGAAAGGCCCUGCUUUUGUGGGGUGCUCGAGUGGCGAACGGGUGAGUAACACGUGAGUAACAUGCCCUUGACUGUGGGAUAACUUCAGGAAACUGGGGCUAAUAUCGGAUAGGAGCUCCUGAUGCAUGGUGGGGGUUGGAAAGAUUCGGCGGUUGGGGAUGGACUCGCGGGUUACCCGCUUGUUGGUGGGGUAGUUGCUUACCAAGGCUUUGAAGGGUAGCCGGCCUGAGAGGGUGACCGGCCACAUUGGGACUGAGAUACGGCCCAGACUCCUACGGGAGGCAGCAGUGGGGAAUAUUGCACAAUGGGCGGAAGCCCGAUGCAGCAACGCCGCGUGCGGGAUGACGGCCUUCGGGUUGUAAACCGCUUUCGCCUGUGACGAAGCGUGAGUGACGGUAAUGGGUAAAGAAGCACCGGCUAACUACGUG
RNAcentral lists this ribosomal RNA (468 nucleotides) under uncultured bacterium. RNAcentral's name for it is "partial 16S ribosomal RNA". It matches the Rfam family "Bacterial small subunit ribosomal RNA", at positions 28 to 507 of the family's 1533-position model. The record is from RNAcentral.